Long non-coding RNA from Mauremys reevesii (Reeves's turtle), 372 nucleotides. RefSeq lists it as uncharacterized. The record is from RefSeq and is a predicted model, not a curated record. Lineage: Eukaryota; Metazoa; Chordata; Testudines; Geoemydidae. The transcript has 3 exons.
AACCAGGGCUGGCUUCCAUUUCACUCAAAGAGGCCUCCACUCUCCCACCCCCGCUCUCCCCAUUCAUCACCGAGCCCCGUCAGUAAGGUGGUAACUGGUUUGGACUGGGAUGGCUGCCUAAGAGCAUUCAGGAGCCAAGUGCCACAUGUUAUAAAGGGGAGACUGAUGAACUAAGGUACCUCAAGCCCAAGUGCCCUGCUGGUGUGAUGUGCAAUGAGACAAGAGUGUGACACGCCACUGCGACUGCCUGGAAAGGGAGUCACUCAUCUCCUGGGAGAAAUCAAGGCAGGAUUCAGAUCUAUCAACUCGAGUGUGAACUCUUCCUGAUAGGCAGAUAAUCCACAGCUCUGAACACAAAUACCAGCAAGCAAG